This 315-nucleotide ribosomal RNA is filed under the name uncultured bacterium. RNAcentral's name for it is "bacterial SSU rRNA". It matches the Rfam family "Bacterial small subunit ribosomal RNA", at positions 28 to 334 of the family's 1533-position model. The record is from RNAcentral.
GAUGAACGCUAGCUACAGGCUUAACACAUGCAAGUCGAGGGGCAUCAGGAAGAAAGCUUGCUUUCUUUGCUGGCGACCGGCGCACGGGUGAGUAACACGUAUCCAACCUGCCCUUUACUCGGGGAUAGCCUUUCGAAAGUAAGAUUAAUACCCGGCGGUCUCGGAUGGCCGCAUGACUAUCCGAGUGAAGAUUUAUCGGUAUGAGAUGGCGAUGCGUCCCAUUAGCUUGUUGGUGAGGUAACGGCUCACCAAGGCAUCGAUGGGUAGGGGUUCUGAGAGGAAGGUCCCCCACAUUGGAACUGAGACACGGUCCAA